GAACCCUUUAUGACCAGAGUGUCUGAAGAGGUGCCUGUCCAAUGUACUCUUCAGUUUGAAUCUUUUCCCACAAACUUCACACUCAUGAUUUCUUGCAUCAGUGUGUGUAAGGGCAUGUUUCUUGAGGGUACCCUUCUCACUGAAACAUUUACCACAAACUUCACACUCAUGAUUUCUUUCACCAGUGUGUGUAAGGGCAUGUUUCUUGAGGGUACCCUUCUCACUGAAACAUUUCCCACAAACUUCACACUCAUGAUUUCUUUCACCAGUGUGUGUAAGAGUGUGUAAUUUGAGGUGACCCUUCCGACUGAAACAUUUCCCACAAACUUCACACUCAUGAUUUCUUUCACCAGUGUGUGUAAGGGCAUGAUUCUUGAGGGUACCCUUCUCACUGAAACAUUUUCCACAAACUUCACACUCAUGAUUUCUUUCACCAGUGUGUGUAAGAGUGUGUAAUUUGAGGGUACCCUUCUGACUGAAACAUUUCCCACAAACUUCACACUCAUGAUUUCUUUCACCAGUGUGUGUAAGAGUGUGUAAUUUGAGGUUACCCUUCCGACUGAAACAUUUCCCACAAACUUCACACUCAUGAUUUCUUUCACCAGUGUGUGUAAGGGUGUGUCUGUUGAGGGUACUCUUCUGACUGAAACAUUUCCCACAAACUUCACACUCAUGAUUUCUUUCACCAGUGUGUGUAAGAGUGUGCAAUUUGAGGUUUCCCUUCUGACUGAAACAUUUCCCACAAACUUCACACUCAUGAUUUCUUUCACCAGUGUGUGUAAGGGCAUGUUUCUUGAGGGUACUCUUCUGACUGAAACAUUUCCCACAAACUUCACACUCAUGGUUUCUUGCACCAGUGUGUGUAAGGGUGUGAUGUUUGGGGUUACUCUUAUUACUAAACCUUUUGCCACACUCCUGGCUUUCAUGAGGUCUUACACCAGAGUGUGUGGGUGUAUUUAUUGAGGUCAUCCUUGCACCUUGCAGCCUCCACUGCAGCACUACUCUGGAUGUGAGGAGUUGGCUGGCCUUGAGGAACCUUGGAGAUGCCGGAGAAGGCGGCGAGGUUGCUUCAAAGCCACACUCAGUGAGCAAUUGAGCAGGCAAGACGUGGGAUGCACCAAGGAGUCCUGAAGUCAGUGGCACCAAGGACAGAAGAAGCACUGAACACAGCAACUGUCUCGAUGCCUCACUUCAACACUAACACCAGUGGUGGUCAUUGGGACACAGACAUGUGCUGAAAAAAAAAAAGAAAGACUGUUACGGAAACUGAACUUGGAGGGAGGGAUCAGGGUGGUGGUGGGUGGACACAAGGCAAGCCACAGGCCACCGGGUCAGGCAAAUAGUGCGUGUUGAUGAUAUCAUCGGUCUUACAUUAUUUACGAGGACCACACUGUUUUUCUGAUAGGUUUGUAUAUGUUUCAAAUUAUUCUGGUUAUUGAUUAUUCUUGGGAGUGUGGGGGAAGGGGGGCAAAAAAAUAACUGCAAGUGUCACAUGAGCUGGCAGGGAUAAUCCUACAGGAAGGGACACACGGACUUGGUAUCAUUGCUGGGGUGAUGGUACUACGCACUCAUUGGCCAAGUCUUAACUUGU
Molecule: long non-coding RNA, 1591 nt
Organism: Eriocheir sinensis (Chinese mitten crab)
Lineage: Eukaryota; Metazoa; Arthropoda; Malacostraca; Decapoda; Varunidae
Exons: 3
Source: RefSeq, a predicted model, not a curated record